Molecule: RNA transcript, 2693 nt
Organism: Helianthus annuus (common sunflower)
Lineage: Eukaryota; Viridiplantae; Streptophyta; Magnoliopsida; Asterales; Asteraceae
Gene name: villin-1-like
Exons: 10
Source: RefSeq, a predicted model, not a curated record
AGACCGAUUAGGGUUUCAGAAACGAUUUCAAAACAUUUCAAAACGCCCGCUUCCCUGCUCCUCUCUCUCUCUCUCUCUGGCGAUUCAGGAACGAUUUCACCGGAUCUGCUCCUCUCUCACCAGAUCUAUGAAGUUUCAACAGAUCGAUGAAGAUUCUGACCUCCUGGUUCUGUUUUCCGGCUUUUAUUGGCAUUUUGCAACAUUCGUCAAGGGAUGUGGAUGUGGAUGCUGGUGAUUGUGACAUUGUUCAAGUCAUUGAAAACAGUGGAGAUAUUUUAAAGCUUUUGCGCCUCACACAUGUAGGUGGAGGCUACAAAUCAGUUUUUAAAGGUGGUGAUAGGGUUGUGGAGAUUCCAAUUGAUGAGUCACACAGGUUCAUUUAUCAGCUCCCAGCUGUUCGUUUAACAGAUGAACAAGAUGGUCGAUUGAGAGGGUUUUGGUGAGUCACACAGGUUCAUUUUAAAGCUUUUGCCCCUCACACAUGUAGGAAAGAGAAGUAAAACGAUUCAUAGAAGAUCCACAUUUGUUUGUACAUUCACAGAAGGUGUGGGUUCUCAAUCAAGUGAUCUCAAGGUAAAAGAGAUAUUCAGUUACACUCGGGACGAGUUAACUACCGAAGACAUGUUAAUACUCGACUGUUACGCUGAAGUUUACGUGUGGGUAAGCCAUAAUUCAGUUGUCAAGUCAAAGCAACAGGCCCUUUCUAUUGGCUUGGCGCUCCUUGAAAAAGAUGUUUUGGGAGAAUGUUUAUCCGUAGAUACUCCUAUAUACGUUGUUACAGAAGGGCAUGAACCUCCGUUUUUCACUCGCUUUUUUGGUUGGGAUGCUUCAAAGGCAAAUUAAAUCUUUUAAAGGUUGAUACGCAUUUGGACUUUUUUUGGUAGAUGCUAGGCAACUCAUUCGAGCGAAAGCUGGCUAUGUUAAAAGGGCAGACACACAAACUUGAAGCACCUUCAAGAAAUUCACCGAGUGUAACGCCAAACGGGAUGACAAGACCGUCGCCAACUCCAAACGGGUUGAGAAGACCGUGUCCUAUUCCUAACGAUUUGUAGAUCUGCAUAUGUUUGAUUAUUAUAAGUUGCAUAUGUUUGUUUACCGUAUGCUAUUACGAGCCCUAACUUUUCUUUUUUUUGUUUCUCUGAUGGAAACCAGAAAUGAGAAAGCGUUUCGCAACAACUAACCCGAGAAACGCCCUCGCAUCGUCUGGACGCCGCAGUUGCAAAAGCGGUUUGUGGAUGUCGUUGCACAUCUCGGUGUGAAAAACACGGUUCCCAAAACAAUAAUGCAGUUAAUGAAUGUCGAAGGAUUGACUCGCUAGAACGUCGCGAGUCAUCUUCAAAAGUACCGGCUUUAUUUAAAGCGGAUGCAGGGGUUGUCGAACGAAGGACCUUCGUCUUCAGAUCACUUGUUCGCCUUGACCCCUGUUCCGCAAAGCUUGCACGAGUCCAGUGGCGGGGUGAACGAAAACAGUCAUGAUCUGGUUCCAUUCCCAAUGCCUCACCCACCCAAAUGAUGCCUUAUCAUCCGGGUGGGGGUUUUUAUAAUAAUGGGUUUGAAACACAUUCUCAUUCUCAUCCUUAUAAUAUGAUGAUGCAGCAAAGAGACUCGUCUGGGAAUAAAUUUGUGCAGUAUCAGCACCAUAUGAACGAUAAAUAGACGCGAAUUCAAUGUUUAUCCACGCGAAAACAGAGACAAGCGCACUACAACAGAUGACACUUUUUACUAGGGUUGAACCAUCCCACAAAAAGAUGUUGGUUGAAGCACUACAACACCAAAAUGAAGUGGUUGCGAUGACUGGAGAUGUGGUGAAUAAUGCACUUGCAUUAAAGAAAUUUCAUGUUGUGUUGGCAGGUAACAAGUGUUAGUCGUCAUUGAAAAGAUUAACUGUAUGAUAAUCUCACCAGUGGAUGGAUCAGUACACAUUUGGAAAGCCUGAGCAUUAAAAACCUGCAAUUGCAAAGCUUGAGAUGUAUUAGCUUUUGGAAAGCUUGAGAUGUAUUCCACUAUUCCUUUUUCUUAAACCUAUACAGUCAAGACAAAUAUUGAAGACAGUUUCAAGUUUGGCUUUAUUGCUGAUGAUAAAAGAAAAAUAACUGCUACAACUUGUGUACCCAUACUGGCAAUUAGAAUUUACGUCGUGGUCACAUACGAAAGGUUAAAAGGAUAGGUAAAAUGGUAAGAAUGGUCGACUUUGAUUAGUGAAACUGAGCCAUUUCAACUCACUAGACCUUGAAGUUGAACCCAACUAUAUUAUUAAUCUUGUUUUUUGAGAUUAAAUAUGUUGGAGAGGAACAAGAGAGGAAGCUUGGAGAGGCUGGUUUGAAUCUAAUGGGCAAAAUAACUAUUUUUGGCAUACAAUGGAGGAUUCUGAUGUUCUUAUGAUUUGGCUUCGUGUGAGCAAUGGUGGUUGCUUCAGAAUCAUCAAAAGGCAGCAAGCCUGCAUCAAGUGGAUGCAUGCUUCUCUUCAAGUGAAGUAAAGACUUGCAGCCGUUACUGAAUACUGCAAGUCCUUUUCUUGUGAUCUCAGGCAACGGCUGGCAUCUUAGUAGUGGUUUUAUGUGCUUCAAUACUAUUUGGUCAGUGAUGCCAGUGAUUGGCAUUCGCAGCACUUUUAGGAAAUUUUCAAUGAAAAAGACAUUCAACAAGAGAGUUUCGAAAUAUUAAUUGAACAUGGUUUUUAUAAUCCUGAUUAA